CCUUCUCUCUUUGAGGUUAGGGUUUCUGGGUGCGUCUAUUUUGAAUCAAUUCGAUGUGCGUGCGUCUUCAACAACAACAAAUUCGAAUCGAUUUCGAACCAAAAAUCAGAAAUUCGAGUUUAGGGUUUUUAAGGGUUUCGUCUGUUGAAGUUGGCGGCACCUUCUUGCGAGCCUUAUUGCGACCUAUGCACCCUUCCCCGAUUUCGUUGUGGAGUUCUUCAGUUGUGCUCCAUCAAUCAAGGUUUGAUCAUCUUUUCUAAAUGGCAUCAGCAGCCUCUAUAGCCUUUAUGUCAUAUUUAGAUUGCUGCCAGGGUAUCCAGCUACAAAAGGGCAGAUUUCCAAUUGCAUAUGAAAGUCAAGGAGCAUCUCUACUGCCAGCCUUGUCUUUCCUGUCUCUACACCAUCGAAAUCGCAUAGGGCUUCUCAGAGCUACACGACGCCCUCCGGUAGUCUGUGCACGCCACCCCAAGAUUUUCUAAGGAUGGUGUGAAGUAUAUUGAAGAGAUAAAAAUGAGAGUGAACCUUGUUAUCCCAACUCCACCAUCUCCAGAGUUCCUAUUAAGGACAGGAUGCCACGUGCCUGUGCGUGGAGUCAGCGGUUCGAGAAGAAGUCCGUUGACCGCCUCUGAUCGAUACGGUUAUUGCUUGACAAGAUGUCCCCUUAGAGGUAAAGUGUAUAAAUUAUUUCUAAUUUUAUAUUGUGAUGCAUUAAUUAUAUGAAUCUUACUAAUUUGAAAAAAUGUGCAGGUGAACUGGAUGUCUUUCGGCCAGAACCCUAGUAAUAGGGUACCCAGGACCCUCUACACGAGACUGAUUCAGUAUCGUGAGAUCGUAGAGACGUACAUGCCUCAGCGCUGUCUUCGCCAGCUUGGAUUUGUCCAAAUUGUCCCUCCUCCACCAGCAUGGCCCAGUAAGGCGGUCCAAUUUGCGUCGUCGAAGGAAUACAUCGUCCAAUGGCCAGAAAGCAUGAUUGUCACGUGGGAGCAGUUUCCGAUGGUUGCCCACCUAUAUAUGGACUGCGGAGCUGCAGAGGCUGCCAAUUGGGGUGCCUCCCAUGUGUGACCACCACAACAUGAAAUGGUACAGCCGGCAUUCGCACCCGAGGUUGAUCAGAGACCUCCACCAUGGCGACGACGCCAAUGAUGAUGAUGUGCCACCGCCCACUGCCGUGGAUGCGUGGAUGGGAAAUAUGAUGCAGCUGGGACAAAGAGUCUUUCAGGAGAGGGACAACAUGACGACUGCAUCAGGCAGAGCUGUUAUUGAUGAUAUGGAACGGGCCCUUGCGCAGUGGCAGUGGGUGUCAAAGAGGGAUUACUGAUCUGUUGACAGUUUAUUUAUAGAGCAUUUUGUAUAUUAUCAUAGUAGUUUGUAAAAUCUGACAUUAUCGUUUAACUUUGUAACAUUUGACAUUAUCAUUUUAAGUUUUUAAAAUUCGACAUUAUAUUUUUAGUUUGUAACGCGCAAAUACUAAUUAGUAUGCAUGCAAGAUAUAAAUUUAGUUAAAAUUAAAAUACAAAAAAUAAAUAAAUGGAAUAAAAA
Chenopodium quinoa (quinoa) is the source of this 1539-nucleotide long non-coding RNA. RefSeq lists it as uncharacterized. The transcript has 4 exons. NCBI's taxonomy places the organism in Eukaryota, Viridiplantae, Streptophyta, Magnoliopsida, Caryophyllales, Amaranthaceae. The record is from RefSeq and is a predicted model, not a curated record.